This 497-nucleotide ribosomal RNA is filed under the name uncultured bacterium. RNAcentral describes it as "partial 16S ribosomal RNA". It matches the Rfam family "Bacterial small subunit ribosomal RNA", at positions 28 to 507 of the family's 1533-position model. The record is from RNAcentral.
GAUGAACGCUGGCGGCGUGCCUAAUACAUGCAAGUCGAGCGAACAGACGAUGAGCUUGCUCCGCUCACGUUAGCGACGGACGGGUGAGUAACACGUGGAUAACCUACCUAUAAGACUUGGAUAACUUCGAGAGACCGGAGCUAAUACCAGAUAAUAUAUUGAACCGCAUGGUUCAAUAGUGAAAGACGGGUUUGCUGUCACCUAUAGAUGGAUCCGCGCCGCAUUAGCUAGUUGGUAAGGUAACGGCUUACCAAGGCAACGAUGCGUGGCCGACCUGAGAGGGUGAUCGGCCACACUGGAACUGAGACACGGUCCAGACUCCUACGGGAGGCAGCAGUAGGGAAUAGUCCGCAAUGGGCGAAAGCUUGACGGAGCAACGCCGCGGGAGUGAUGAAGGUCUUCGGAUCGUAAAACUCUGUUAUUAGGGAAGAACAAAUGUGUAAGUAAAUAUGCACGUCUUGACGGUACCUAAACAGAAAGCACCGGCUAACUACGUG